UCCAUCUGCCCCCAUUUUGAGCUCCACAUCCACCUUUGGUUCACUCACUGCGUUCUGCAGCCUUAAAGCCAAGUUUGGGGAAGGAAGAAGACUGAACUUGAACUGGGAACCCCAAGAAAGGAUACAGUCCCCCUCAGCAGCAACCAUGAGGAAGUUACCCUUUGCCCAGUUGGAGAGUGAAUCUCACCACACAGCCAAGACUGGUUUCUAACUCAUAACCCUCCAGCCUCAACUCCCCACAUGCUGGGAUUGCAAGCCUGUGCCACACACCUAUGUCAGUCGUCCCCAGAUACAUCCUCAGGUUGUUUCCAGUUCUCAUAAAUGGUGCUUUGAACAAGGCCUCUGUGGUCAGAUCAUUUUACCAUACGGACUUCCAGAAGUGAGUCUGCAGGCACUGGACUUUCUGAAGAGGACUUCUGUCGUUUUUUAAUGGUUGGAAGCUCCAUAGCCACUCUUUAUUUCACCUCCACAGAGCAGAUACAAGAUCGCAGAACUACAUGGACAGACGGAGCCAGUGGAAAGACUCGGUGCCCAUUCAGCCUUAAAAGGCUGGACAGGACACGCUCUGUGAAGAGAGAUACCCCGAGAGUCCUGGAAAGGACAGAGCCUGUGGCCACAUCUGACUUUGUGUCCACUUGAGGAGAACCCUCCACCACUCCAGCUGUCUCCUUCAGCCAUCGAGUGUUCUUUGUGGCUGAUUUCUUACUAGGCUGGAUUCAGGAAAUUACCCCAGAGACAAUUAUGCACUCCUGCCACUUGUUUUGCAAUUCAUAUAUCAUAAUCUGAUUUUAAACAAACAAAGGAAACAGGGUCUGGCUAUGCAGCCCCACCAUGCUGGGCAUAUUAUAUCUGGUGUUAACAGGGCGAGCAUUGUGAAUGAUCAGUUUAAGAGUGCCUCAUGACUCUGGAGUCGGUGCAUACCGUCACAUUAGCUCAUGAUUUCCCAAGAACAUCCAAAGAAACCUCCCAGGCCUGUUAAUAGAGCAGGAGACUGCAUCUAUUAAGGCCUAUCUUGGGAAGGAGCCAGAGCUCCCUAAGCAAACAAGCCCUGCUUCCUCUUCAUUUGCAGCUGACCGUUCCCUUGCCUUUCCCAUCUAUUUCUCCAGACCCUGGAAUAGGUUACCUCCUCCUCAGCGUAUGGUUGCUCAGCAGAAAACAGUGAGUUAUUAACCAGGCUCGCGGCCCUCAAACUCUGGACCAGAAGUUCUCGACCUUUCUCUGAUCCAUGGCUUCAUUUGGCAGCUUUUGGAAACCCGUAGACCUCUUCUCGGAAUAACAUUUUGAAAUACUUGUCAUAAAUAUGUGGUAUCACAGAUGAACCAAUAUCCAAAUAGAGUUAUUAAAAUAUUAAAAAUGAA
This is a long non-coding RNA of Rattus norvegicus (Norway rat), 1358 nucleotides long. RefSeq lists it as uncharacterized. NCBI's taxonomy places the organism in Eukaryota, Metazoa, Chordata, Mammalia, Rodentia, Muridae. The record is from RefSeq and is a predicted model, not a curated record.